CCGGGCCGCUUCCCGGCGUGGUGGGGGCCGCCCGGGCUGCCCGCAGAGGCUGCCCUGGGUGUGCUCCUGAGAGCAGCCCCGGCUCAGCGAUGCUCUCCGCCUCCUGCCUGUGCUCAUGCCCUGCCUAGGGCCGACCGCGACCCCAGAGCCCCAGCGCCCCCACCUCUCUCCCGGGUUUCAGGGCUCAGAAGCCUGUCGGAGGGUGGUCCAGACCACCCGGUUCCCAAGAGCGCACCUUUAGACGGCACGUCUAGCCGUUUUCUAAAUCUAACAAGACUAUUGAGGGUCCAGAUCCUUCGAGAAUGAACAUUCCUUUAGCAAUCAACAGCCACAACCAGCUGCAGCCUGCACAGACUACAGACAACUCUAAUGAGAGAACAUACAAUUUGGGAAGUAAAAUUUCUUGCCAUGGCAAAUGCACAGGAAACAGAAAUGCGCCCACAGGAAGAAGAGAAGCAGAACUGUGGAGAACCCAGCAGGGCUGUCACGGCCGCGCAGGAAGAGUCUUGAAUUGGGUGUUGCUGCACAAACCUGUAGUUCCAGCACUUACGAGACAGGAGUGGGAGGAACACCAUGAGUCCAAACCUAACCUGAGCUACACAGAGAAGUUCUAUCUGGAGAAAACAAGAGAGGAAGAAUGCAUGGCAACAAGCAGAGAAGGACUGAGAUGCUGAGGAGCAAGAAGAGAUGGGAAAAGAGAAAGAAAUGGUGGGAGGGGAGGAGGGAUUCCUAUGUAGCUGAAGUUGGCUGCAAACUCAUGACGACUCUGCCUCAGUCUCCUCCUGCUUACACUAAGUGCAAACAUGCACCAAGUCAGCUGCCCUCAUUCCUAAACAAAUCUCAACCAAUGUAUUCUUCUACUAUCCCUCUCAUGCAACUUGUUUUUCUCUUAGUACUCUUCUCAGGCACCAUGGUUCUCCAUGACUCUGAUUCUUUGAUUUUCCUUCUCUUUUAAAUACACUCUUCUCUUGGAUCAUUUUGAAUCCCCACCAAUAAACCAGUGAUGACCAAAUUCGUAUAA
Molecule: non-coding RNA, 1021 nt
Organism: Myodes glareolus (Bank vole)
Lineage: Eukaryota; Metazoa; Chordata; Mammalia; Rodentia; Cricetidae
Source: RefSeq, a predicted model, not a curated record